RNAcentral lists this ribosomal RNA (327 nucleotides) under uncultured eukaryote. Its description in RNAcentral is "partial 18S ribosomal RNA". It matches the Rfam family "Eukaryotic small subunit ribosomal RNA", at positions 1470 to 1796 of the family's 1831-position model. The record is from RNAcentral.
CCCCUAGAUGUUCUGGGCCGCACGCGCGCUACACUGAACAGUUCAACAAGUCUUAACCUUGGCCGAUAGGUCUGGGUAAUCUUUGAACGCUGUUCGUGAUUGGGAUAGACCUUUGCAAUUAUGGGUCUUCAACGAGGAAUUCCUAGUAAACGCAAGUCAUCAGCUUGCAUUGAUUACGUCCCUGCCCUUUGUACACACCGCCCGUCGCACCUACCGAUUGAAUGGUUUAGUGAGGUCUCCUGAUUGGCGUUUUGCAGCUGGAAACAGCAGUGGGAUGCUGAAAAGUUGAUCAAACUUGAUCAUUUAGAGGAAGUAAAAGUCGUAACA